AGGUAAAUCUAGCUUUGUAGAUGGAAAGUUGGCCUAUUUCUGCAUAACAUCAGUAUGGAUGUGAAUACUACCAUCAUAGAUGUACAUGGUUCAUCUGCAAGCAAAACAUAGAGAAGUGCUUAAAAGAUGAGCUAGGACAUGGUCAUCGUCAUCCAAAAAGAACUGCAAAGAAGCUGUUCUAAGGCAAAGGCACUGAAUAUGCUAAGGACAAUGGCUGUGCAGAUGACAUAAUUGAGUCAGGGUAUACUUUCUUGUUCAAUAAUAUUUGCUUGUGUAUGGUUCUUAUAGUUUUUUUCCUCUGCGAAGUUUCUUAAUUAUGAAGCAUGAAUAUGCAUCUGCAAUAGUGAAAGUGCAUCUAGCCCCCUAGUGGAUUUUGGUGGAUUGAAUGACAUCACAAUUAAAGAACUAAUCAUCUCAUUUAGUGUAUGAGCAGGGAUUAAUCAUCAUAUAAGUCAUAUAUGUGAAGACAUGAGUUAAUGUGUAAGACAAAAGGCUCAUAGAACAAGAUGUGUGCUAUGCCAUAAUCAAAUGAGAUGAUAUUGACAAGCAACGGUUAUUGUGUGGAUUGAGACAUGUGUUAUUGACAACAAUUUUACUCUCAUAUCCAAAUGAAGCUUGUUGACAAGGUCAUAGCACUAGAAGUGAAUUUCUUGUGAAGAAAUGGACAAUCUAUCAAUAGAAGAUAUAAAUUAAAAAGAAUUAUGAAGAAUGACUUUCAUUGAUGAUUUAAUUGUGAUACAAAUCUCUAUGGAGCUCUAUGUGACGCAAGGAUGAAGAGUUGGAAUUCGGGAAAGCAUUUCGAGGGACUAAGCUUGGAGAAGGGAAAUUGGGUUGUGCCGAGGAACCAAUGCUAGGGUGAAGAAAUUUUCUUGGGAUUCAACUUGAAGAAUCUUGGUCAUGUAUGGUGUUCAUAUUGGCAAGUAUCAAUCUUUUAUGAAGAUGGUAACUUGAACUAGAAAUGGGUUUCAUUCAUAGAUGAAUGUUCAAGUCACUAGCUCAAGGAAGAUGUGCUCAAGAAAAAGAGAUAGAGGUGAAUGCACUCCUCAGAUUGUGAAUGAUCAAAGGCACGACAUGAGAUACAAAAGAGAAGCUCAAGUGGUUGAAAUGUAAUUUAUCCUUGAUCUUGAGUAUAGGUAUGUUGUACUAUCAAGAGAAAUGCAUCACAAUGGUUUUUGGCUUA
This is a long non-coding RNA of Panicum virgatum (switchgrass), 1180 nucleotides long. RefSeq lists it as uncharacterized. The transcript is spliced from 2 exons. NCBI's taxonomy places the organism in Eukaryota, Viridiplantae, Streptophyta, Magnoliopsida, Poales, Poaceae. The record is from RefSeq and is a predicted model, not a curated record.